ACUAGCCACUUGUGUGGGACACUAAUACUAGGUUCUGGGUGCUCAUUUGAGAAAUGAGUCUAUUGAAUUGACUCGAUGAAAGAGAACAUCUUAUGGAAGCCUUACUUGCAUGUCAAAAAUGGUUCUCUAAGUGGGAGUUAUGCAAGUGAUCUUUAGACCUGAGAUCACCAUGAAAUCUUAUGCAUAUGAAUUCAUAUUUUGGUUUAUACUCAAGCAUGGCUUUAAGAC
RNAcentral lists this long non-coding RNA (228 nucleotides) under Elaeis guineensis (African oil palm). RNAcentral describes it as "long non-coding RNA (EGUI_LNC065935)". Lineage: Eukaryota; Viridiplantae; Streptophyta; Magnoliopsida; Arecales; Arecaceae. The record is from RNAcentral.